RNAcentral lists this ribosomal RNA (1499 nucleotides) under metagenome. RNAcentral's name for it is "bacterial SSU rRNA". It matches the Rfam family "Bacterial small subunit ribosomal RNA". The record is from RNAcentral.
GAGUUUGAUCAUGGCUCAGAUUGAACGCUGGCGGCAGGCCUAACACAUGCAAGUCGAACGGUAACAGGAAACAGCUUGCUGUUUCGCUGACGAGUGGCGGACGGGUGAGUAAUGUCUGGGAAACUGCCUGAUGGAGGGGGAUAACUACUGGAAACGGUAGCUAAUACCGCAUAACGUCGCAAGACCAAAGAGGGGAACCCUCGGGCCUCUUGCCAUCGGAUGUGCCCAGAUGGGAUUAGCUUGUUGGUGGGGUAACGGCUCACCAAGGCGACGAUCCCUAGCUGGUCUGAGAGGAUGACCAGCCACACUGGAACUGAGACACGGUCCAGACUCCUACGGGAGGCAGCAGUGGGGAAUAUUGCACAAUGGGCGCAAGCCUGAUGCAGCCAUGCCGCGUGUAUGAAGAAGGCCUUCGGGUUGUAAAGUACUUUCAGCGGGGAGGAAGGGAGUAAAGUUAAUACCUUUGCUCAUUGACGUUACCCGCAGAAGAAGCACCGGCUAACUCCGUGCCAGCAGCCGCGGUAAUACGGAGGGUGCAAGCGUUAAUCGGAAUUACUGGGCGUAAAGCGCACGCAGGCGGUUUGUUAAGUCAGAUGUGAAAUCCCCGGGCUCAACCUGGGAACUGCAUCUGAUACUGGCAAGCUUGAGUCUCGUAGAGGGGGGUAGAAUUCCAGGUGUAGCGGUGAAAUGCGUAGAGAUCUGGAGGAAUACCGGUGGCGAAGGCGGCCCCCUGGACGAAGACUGACGCUCAGGUGCGAAAGCGUGGGGAGCAAACAGGAUUGGAUACCCUGGUAGUCCACGCCGUAAACGAUGUCGACUUGGAGGUUGUGCCCUUGAGGCGUGGCUUCCGGAGCUAACGCGUUAAGUCGACCGCCUGGGGAGUACGGCCGCAAGGUUAAAACUCAAAUGAAUUGACGGGGGCCCGCACAAGCGGUGGAGCAUGUGGUUUAAUUCGAUGCAACGCGAAGAACCUUACCUGGUCUUGACAUCCACGGAAGUUUUCAGAGAUGAGAAUGUGCCUUCGGGAACCGUGAGACAGGUGCUGCAUGGCUGUCGUCAGCUCGUGUUGUGAAAUGUUGGGUUAAGUCCCGCAACGAGCGCAACCCUUAUCCUUUGUUGCCAGCGGUCCGGCCGGGAACUCAAAGGAGACUGCCAGUGAUAAACUGGAGGAAGGUGGGGAUGACGUCAAGUCAUCAUGGCCCUUACGACCAGGGCUACACACGUGCUACAAUGGCGCAUACAAAGAGAAGCGACCUCGCGAGAGCAAGCGGACCUCAUAAAGUGCGUCGUAGUCCGGAUUGGAGUCUGCAACUCGACUCCAUGAAGUCGGAAUCGCUAGUAAUCGUGGAUCAGAAUGCCACGGUGAAUACGUUCCCGGGCCUUGUACACACCGCCCGUCACACCAUGGGAGUGGGUUGCAAAAGAAGUAGGUAGCUUAACCUUCGGGAGGGCGCUUACCACUUUGUGAUUCAUGACUGGGGUGAAGUCGUAACAAGGUA